This is a small nucleolar RNA of Cercocebus atys (sooty mangabey), 72 nucleotides long. Ensembl annotates it as small nucleolar RNA, C/D box 114-22. Its record names the gene SNORD114-22. The record is from Ensembl. Lineage: Eukaryota; Metazoa; Chordata; Mammalia; Primates; Cercopithecidae.
UGGAUCGAUGAUGACUACCGGUGGCAUAUGAGUCAUACGUGAUGAAUGCGUGUCUGGAACUCUGAGGUCCGU